GCUUUACUUUAGAUUCUUCUAGGGUUUCUAGAUUGUAUACCCUAGAUAAGCAUCCUAUAAAGUAAACACAAGUACUUGCAGAGACUUUAGAUUAGAGGGCUAGCGACUGCAGAAGAAGAGUAACACGUCAUCUCUGUGCUUCUUUGUCUACAAUUUUGGAAAAAGUGAUGACGCCAUUGCUCUUUCCCAAAUGUAGACAAAGCAAUACCGUGAUGAUGUCGUGGAGAUUUUGUUGAGAUGCUACGAGCGUGUUAAUGUUUCAUGUUUGUUGUUUGAUUUUACUGACUGCUGAUUUCUUUUUUUCUUGGAUCUCGCUCAAAACUAGAUCCUCACUACAGAGCAUAACUGUUGAUUUUUCUUAUUCCAGAUCUUGCUCUGAACAAGGGCAUCUAAAGUCACAGAUGCGUGUGAUUAUUGUUCUAGACUUGCAGACUUCCUUCUUUUUUUUUUUUUUGCAAAUCCAGAUUUGUUUUCUGAAUGGUGAAUUCGUGGUCCAGUAAGGUUUUGAUACCUUUCAAAGAGAUAAACUUAACAGAACAAAAUUUUGUUAAAUAU
RNAcentral lists this small RNA (555 nucleotides) under Arabidopsis thaliana (thale cress). RNAcentral's name for it is "partial miR158". The stretch from base 123 to 222 matches the Rfam family "MIR158 microRNA precursor family". Lineage: Eukaryota; Viridiplantae; Streptophyta; Magnoliopsida; Brassicales; Brassicaceae. The record is from RNAcentral.